UACAGAGGUCCCGAGCGUUGUUCGGAUUCAUUGGGCGUAAAGGGUGCGUAGGUGGCGCUGUAAGUGGGGUGUGAAAUCCCGGGGCUUAACUCCGGAACUGCAUUCCAUACUGCGGUGCUUGAGGACUGGAGAGGAGACUGGAAUUUACGGUGUAGCAGUGAAAUGCGUAUAGAUCGUAAGGAAGACCAGUGGCGAAGGCGGGUCUCUGGACAGUUCCUGACACUGAGGCACGAAGGCCAGGGGAGCAAACGGG
RNAcentral lists this ribosomal RNA (253 nucleotides) under uncultured bacterium. Its description in RNAcentral is "partial 16S ribosomal RNA". It matches the Rfam family "Bacterial small subunit ribosomal RNA", at positions 524 to 776 of the family's 1533-position model. The record is from RNAcentral.